Cygnus olor (mute swan) is the source of this 5813-nucleotide long non-coding RNA. RefSeq lists it as uncharacterized. The transcript is spliced from 2 exons. The record is from RefSeq and is a predicted model, not a curated record. NCBI's taxonomy places the organism in Eukaryota, Metazoa, Chordata, Aves, Anseriformes, Anatidae.
GGAGCCUUCAGAAAGCUCUCAGCAUGCGUUUGGCUUGUCUGGGAAGGGAAAUGCUAGCUGCCUUAUGGUUCUGAUCAGGGCCAGUUGGGAUGUGACAAAUUUCUGGAGUGCAAAGUAAAACAAACCAGAGAGCGAAUAACAACAGAGAGGAGAAUAAAAACAAAACAAAAACAAAAUGGAUACAACUGAACAUGCUUUCAAAUGAGAGCUUCCAGAAGAUUGCAGGACAGUAGGAUCAAAGCAUGGCAUAACUAUCAAACUGUUUUCUUAAACCUAAACAUACUUGGCCCUUACAGCACACUAUUAUUAGAUACAGAUUGUGCAUAUGUGUAUGUAGGAGGAGCUUGGGCUUUUCCUGCAGCUGCGCUGAGCCUCGCAGGGCUGUACAGCAGUUUUGUGCAGUCGGUGGCAGGCCCAGCUGGGCACCAGCACGGAGUGCUGCGGGGCACAGCAGGGCUCCGCACCUCCUCCCCGAGACCAGCUCACCGGAGAGCCGCUGGAGCCACGCAAGAUGAAGUGCUACAGGGAAGUGGGAAAGGGAAGAGAAGACGAGCAGAGUAGGAGAGUGCUACCGAGUGAACACACGUGGCUGAGAAAUAUGGAGCCCCUUCUCUGUCACAGCACUCCUUUUGGAGACGUGGGGGCGUGGGGUGGGAGCAGCAGCAGCUGAGCAGCGGUGCCAGCGCCCGCAGCCCCCAGGGCAGUCCCAGGGGACAGCAUGGGUGGGUGCCCUCCGGCCACAACAGUCCAGGGAAGGAGAGAGGGAGAAAUUUGCCCCCUGCCUUCUUCCCUCAGAUGUAUGACUCAAGAAUUGCCCUGUUGGUCACACGUCUUUCAAUUUAAACGCUGGAGGAAUAUGCUGAACGGUUAAGGCUGAAGUGAAGAGGCUUGGUGCCUCAGCUCUGCCUUCUAUAAACUGGCAUUGCCUCGUAAGGCUAAUAUAACUCCUAGUUUAUAACUGUGAAGCUCUUUGUGAUCUGCAGAAGGUAGAGACUAGAGAAAGAAAUUUAUAAAACAAUAAAUACUAAUCUUAGAAUGACUUUCAGUCACCCUUAAAGAGGAAGAAAAGAGCAGGUUAUGCACUGUAACUUAUAUACAGACUCCUGUAGAAAUUACAGGAAUUGUCAGAGGUUAACAUAUUGCUCCCAAAGGCUCUUCUGUGCUUAUGCAGAAAGUCACAUUCAUCCUCGUCCAUUACUGCAGUAACAAGGCACAAGGCUUGAAACGAUUGCAAACGAAAGAAAACGGCAUUACGAUACGGUCUCCUUGCCAAAACACUGCCUGGUACAGCUAAGCAUGCGGCCGUCUGAGAGCUGAGAUAAAGAGAUGGGAAAAUCGGAGGCCUGAUGGCAGCCAAUGCCACCACCGCUCCAUCUGAGGGCGGUGGAGGCUGGCAGGCAUUGUGUCCUCCUCCCCGCGCCGCCUGCCCGACCUCGCUCUGCUCCACCGCAGGGCAGCGAUCGACCGACGGGUUGCCCUUCGGUGGUUCACUGACAUUCGUGCAACGUGGAACUGGAUUUGAGAGCAUGCAUUCCUCUCGUCACCCAGAAUGAAAGUGAAACUCAGCGAGUUAUUUUUGUCCUCGCCAAACCCGAAGCGUGGCAGAGGAACCUGCCGUGCCUCCCCGCGGAGCGCCCCAGCUGGGCAGCCCCAGCCCCGGUGGCAGCGCAGCGAGCUGCUUUCGGCAGCAGGUCCCUCGCUAGGAUGCUGGGCUACAGGAGGCAUCUCCCCGAAGGGACCGGUUACUAUUUUUAUUGAGAGACCUUUCUAAAUAACUGAAAAAGAAAACAGGAAACCGCAGCGCUGUGGACUGGAGCCCGAAGUGUUCUCACACAUCUGCUGUUACUGGGGCGGCCACCAUUAGGCAAUGGAAACUAAUGGGGAUGCUGGUGAGAAGAUGAAGUAAGUGCAUUUAAUCACUGCGUCCUUUUACCUGUACCGCUACCGGUCAACUGGGAUGAUCCCUCAAAUUCAUGACACUCGCACAGGACGGUCCGCAAGAGUUAACAUUUCAGGCACAACUGACACGGACAAGUAGGGCGCACUGGUGAGACACCAUCACAUAUUUUCUGGCACUUCUCUCCAGCCCAAAACAAGAAAAAAGUGAUUGUGAAGAACAUUUUUGAGUCCAAGAAAUGGUGGAGGAACCACGAUGAAGGAGACUGGUGAUUUUCAGAGAAUUAUAGUAUCAUUUCUGAACAUCUAUAUAAGUCCUUAGUGAGCAUCAUUAGUUUAUUGUGGUUUAAAUAAUUAAUCUGGAACGGGACUGCUACUUCUUAUCCUCUUUGGAAGAAGUCUCUUGUGAUACACUUAGAUACAUGAAUGUGUAAAAGCCUGUGAGCCCUGUAUAGCCCUGAGGCCUUCACGUCCAGAAAUGGUCUCACAUUGACAGGGUGACACUGACCUCUGCAUUUUCAAAAUACUUUAUAUGAUUUUACUAACUGCAGAUUUUCAGAUGCUCUGUGAUUUUUUGAAUGCUCCAAACUACAAGAGAACUUUUGAAUAUUGGUACAUAAUUCAGAUCAUCUCUUCAUAACAUGGCCAAGCUAAUAAGUUGAAGCAUAAGUGAUUUAACUUUCUUUUCCCCUACAGUUUCAGAUUUACUUAGUUGUGUUUAGGACCUUUAAGCAUUGGAGUGAAGAGCGAAUACAGAGACAAAUAUGUUGUUUGUUUUCCCAGUGCCAGAUAGAUGGAUUCAAUUUUCAGAUUCCUUAAACUGCCAACAUUGAAAAGUCGUAAAAAAAAAAAAAAAAAGAAAAGAAAAGAAAAGAAAAAGAGGGGGGAAGCAUUUGUUUUAAAGAUCUGUCAUGGUUUCUAUAAACUGCACAGAUUUUUUUGUCAUUUAUAACAAAAUUGAUGUCACAUGUACAUUCUAUCACUCGCAUCUGAUGAUGUUACUUUAGUGAGAAGUUCAAAUACGGUUAAAAGAAGUGAAUAUAGUUCUUCUUUUCCCAACCACCUUCAUUUUAACCACAGGGGCAGCUCUACCCCAGACCUUGGGAUUUUGUUAAAAGGCCCCUUCGUGUUCACGUUGCUCCUCAGGGGAGGAAGACUCUGGAGGCUCAGCAGAUACCCACAGGGUAUCAAUGCUGGGGGGCUUGAGGACUGCCUCGCGGCGGGGCUGGACAGCUGCUGGGACGUGCCCGGGGCAGGGACAAUCUGGCUCCAGCAGUGCUGAGCCCCCCGCAGUCUGCCCCUCACCUCAGUCAGCGCCAUCUGACAACAGGGAUGGAGCCCUGCACAUUACACGUUACAUCUAAAAAGAGGCAAUCUUUUCCCUUCGACACUGAAUACUUUUCACAGCUGUGUGCUGUGGAGAGAGGCAAAGAAGAAAUGCUCAGGAAGCACACAGAAAAGAGAGGUCAUUUCUGUCGAGCUUUUUAUUUCCUCUCUUUUAAGUUUGAAUUAAUUUAGAUUGCAAUUUUUAAACAAAACUUGCAGCCGGUGAGAAUUGGACAAAGUUCCUCUGCUUCCCUGACACUUUUCCACCUUAAACAGGGAUAAACACAUUCUUCUUUAUUUUCAAAGCUUCCUCAAGAUGGUAGUUUUCUUAUCAUGCAAGUUUCCCAGAACACAGAUUUCCUUCACCAUGCACAGAGGGGUUAAGCUGCAAGCCUGAAAGUCACUGAGCAGGAGGACUUCCAGGACAGCCAGGGAGUCAGCUCAUUCCCAGCCAGGAAAGAGAUGAAAGACCAAAUCCUGAGCUGUAACCCCUGACAGCCUUGCUUAAAUAGGACUGGUUCAGGCUAAUGGCUGGCUGUCAACAGGAGUGAGUGUUUAUAAAAAUGCUAAAAAUAGUCUACAGUAUGAUAUAUGCACUCAAGGGAUAAUUUGCAAAGUGUACAAAGAACAAUUAGGGCCACAAAAUCCAUCGACUGCAGGGCCAAUUGCGAUCACCCAACAUGGUCACCAAAAGACCACAGGCGAUCCAAUUUCUGUAUUGCCUAUGUAACAAUACCUAAUUUUAAGUCCAUGUUUUCCAGUGGGAGAGGCUUCUGCCCAGGCAUUUUAGCUCUGCUGGGGUGAGCUUCCUUCAAAAUUAAACGUAUAGACCCAUCUCGGGGGUAGCCUGGCUGACCUCUGGGCACUGGAUCUCACUGCUCCUUGCUUUUGGGACAGAAGGCCAUCCAUUUAAUAACCUGGUGGUGAAUCCAGGUCCUUCUAUGAAGGCUACACAUUUCGUUGCAAAAUGAUGUGAAGUGAUAUAGGUCUAAUCACUUACAGUUAAUAGUGUGAGUUCUGGAACAAGCUUUGCAUGUAAAGUGUUGGUUGUUGUCCUAGAACUGCUCGCUGCUCUGGAAGGCCUGGAAAGCAUUCGUGACUUACACAUUACUAUAUCUUCACAUGGAAUUUCUGCAAAAUGUAUUAGCUGUUGUCACCCAGUCCCCAUACUGAGUCCCUCUGAGAAGGCAUCAGCACCCAGAAAGGUAGCCUGUUUGUAGAACAGUGGUAUGUACUGGUAAUAAAAGUCUGCCUUGCUUCCUGCUAUCUAUUAGGAAAUAGAGAUAACCAGGUAUGGGUUAGACAUUACCUACACAUUGAGAAGUCACAACUGGGAAAAAUGAGCAUCAAUAAGAAGCAAUGAGGUAAAAAACAAAACAGUUUUCAAUCCAUUUCUGAAGAACUGGCCUACUUCAGUGCAGUCUUUCCAAACCAAGGGUGACUACAUUUCUCACUCUUUCUCUUGCUGAUACGUCACAAGAUUAAUUUUCCACUUUGCCUUUAAUCUUAACUCACAAGGACUAAAACAAAAAGUUGUUUUAUGCACUGGGUAAUUUUUUGCAAACAGUAUUUGAGAAAAUCUAACUAGAGCAAACCCUAUCUCAGCUUCCUCUGGCACGCAUCUAUCUUUUUUUCAGUUUCAUUUCCUUAAAGGAAAUAGACUCAUUCUGCUCUGAGACCUUUUAUUCCUCCUGGGCGUAUAUGCCACAGAAAAGUAAUUAAUAUGUAAUCACAGACUAAUUAAAUAUGUUCUUUUAUGUUUUGCAUUUAUAAAUCAUGACUAACAGCCUGAACUCUCAGGUCAACGGACAUCUUCAUCCCUUAGCGUUGUCAGAUUUUCUGUAUUCCUGUUAUACUCAUAUGCUUUAUAUGUUUCAUUUUUUUCACUCUCAAAGUACUAGGCUAUGUGUUUCAGAUAGUCAAGCAACAGUGCUCGCUGAUCUGUACAACUCUUCAAACAGAAGUGGAAAAAGAGGGACCAAAGACAGGAAGCAUCACCUGGUGAUCCUACCGCCUAAGCGCUGUCCUAAACUCCUUCAGAAAGACUUGCUGAACCAGCACAACUCCUUAUCAAAUAUUAAAUCAAAUGAUGAUACACAGUAGCUUACCUCAGCCUAAUUCCCCUUUUUUUAAGCAUAUAUUUUUUUCUUCCUAAUCUCAGAGACUUGGGGUAAUUUUCCAUUACUCUGCCUGGGUUCCAGGAGGGCCAGGCCUCCGCAAAGAGCACUCUGCCAGAACGCGCCUCGCAGCCUGCACAUGCUUUGCACGUCAACAAGAUUUCGGCAGGAAAAAACAGGAACUUCAUUGCCUUUCUGUCUUUAAUACACAGAUUACAAGCUUUCACACAUCAGUGUCCACUUUUUGGUGUUUGUUUGUUUUUAGAGCUUGCUUGCCGCCGGUUGGAGUGGCUGAGGCCGCACUCCUGGCUGCGGUUACGCCCUCCCCUGCGACGCCUGGUGCUUGGCCUCCACGAGGAGGCUCCGCUGGACACGCUGCAAAGAAAAAGCAGCGUAGCUGACUUACUUCACUUUAUUCACAAAUAUUCUUUGUAACCCGUCGUGCAUUUUAAAAAGAAGUUCUCACUAGCAGUC